Molecule: long non-coding RNA, 3687 nt
Organism: Alexandromys fortis (reed vole)
Lineage: Eukaryota; Metazoa; Chordata; Mammalia; Rodentia; Cricetidae
Exons: 3
Source: RefSeq, a predicted model, not a curated record
GCAAGUUCAAAGUCCUUUACAGGUUUCCUGAAGAAUCUCUUUCUCCACAGCUGUAGAGAGUAAACAGAUGGGACGGGAGAAGUCUGAAGACAUGAAACUGGAGUUCAAAGCUGUAUGCGUCAACAGUUCCUGAACCAGGAAGAGAUUGCAAGAACCACGCUGCCUGAGACAGAGCUUCAUCCAGAACACAAGGAGAAGGGUCCGGGUGCUGGGCUGCACUCUGCACAGGGUCAGAGCGACUGUGGGUACCCAGGCCCAACCUGGACGAGUGAGAUAUAGAGUAAAUACCUCACAAUGACCAUCUGCAUGCUACGGAGCCAGUGAAGCCAGCAGCUGCUCGGUCCAAGAAGUCGGAAGCCUCAGAACAAGAGUGACCAGUGAUACUGGCCAAGGCCAACGCUGGAUGUUUAGAAGCCCUUGGAGAGUUGCUGAUGGGGGUCCAUGUUCAGACUGAAGGAGUUAGAGUCUGAUUGACGCAGGAGGUGGCAGUGAUAAUACAUGCAUCCUCUCAAGAAGAUUUGAGUUUGAAUAUGCUGAUCGGCUUUCUCCUGUUAGUUUACUUUAUCCUGGGACAGCCUAUGGUUGGUGCCACCUUCCACAUUCAGGAUGGGUCCUCCCACGUACGGUCAUCUCUGGAAGCAUCUGCAGAGACACACAGGGAAGUGUGCUUUGAUGAUUUUGUUGAGCAUCUUUCAAGACAGUCAAGUUGACAGUUGUUACAAUUUGCCCGUAGCGCCAUCAGUUUCUUCCUCCAAGCCUCCUAUCUACGUUCAACCGCUCUGCAAGUUCAUCAUUUGACUCCGAGCUGGUUCUCAUGGCUCUUUGUCUUUGUUUCCACUUCUUGACUGGUCUACCAGAAAAACUCCAUUUUUUUUCCAGGCAUUUCCUCCUGGAAGCAGUACCUGAUUUCUCAAGACAAGCUAGCCGAAGCUCUCUCCCACCUCCCCUACUCUGCUCCAUACUAUGGAAAUAUCAUAGUUUAUUAUAGCUGUUCAUUUGAAGCAGAAACCUCUGCCCAACCUUAAGGUCUAAACUCCUUGAGAGUAGUGCUCAUCAUUUCAACUCCAACACAAAGCGUAGGGCGUGGCCUAGACUAGACAGUCCAUUACUAUUUCAUUGGUAAUAAUGCCCAAUUUUCAUUGUACACUUCCCUUAAGGCCAGGCCAAAUGCUAAGUACUUCAGCAUCUAUGAUGCCAUUUACUUCACACAACCACAAUUACCCUAUUAGCUAAGUGUCAUUAUUCCUAUAAUGAAGAUGAGAAGACUGAGGCCGAGAGAGGGUAGGUAGCUUCCCUCCCCCACCCCACCCCCCCAAGAUUUGGUUUCUCUGUGUAGCCCUGGCUGUCUUAGAGCUCACUCUGAACACCAGACUGGUUUCGAACUCACAGAGAUCUACCUGCCUCUGCACUCUACUCCCGAGUGCUGGGAAGGUGCCCCAUGGCACAGAAAGGCUGUAAAUCAUAAACUGUGAGGAUGUUUAGCAUUUUCAGUCACUUGCUCUGCUAUGGCUUUGGAAUAGGGGUUUCUAGGUGAAGGCUGCAGGGGCUGCCUUAGACGUUGUCUCCACAGUCCAGUCCAUACAGUACUCCCAUGGACCUUUACCCAUCAACUCAGACCUGGAGACGGGAUCUAGGUGAAGCGCCAGCAUUCUCAGUUCAGCGGGUCUUCAGCUUCUCAUCAAAGCAGCUCCUCAGAUCUGCGACCCGGCUCCUGGCCGUGAAUACUGUGUGAGCGAUCCCUACCCAGGUAGAACUGUAAUAAGCGGUACUCUCUCAUGAUUGUUUUUCUUUCCACACUUGGUUGACCAGCAGUGGAUUGGAUCUCCAGCCCCAGGGAGCAGGCCUGGUCUACGGAUCAGUUCAGAGCUGAGCUGACUUCUGUGGACCCAGUGUCUUGGCAUGGUGGCGUCUUGCGAGUGUACACCCUGAUACUUGCUAACACCAAACGCAGCUCACAUGCCGUGCAGCCGGAAGUGACAGAGAAGCAAAGCAACCUCAGCAGAGGUCCACAGCUCACUUAGGAAGAAGAGAGAAACUGAAGAGUUCAAGGUUAAAGAGCCCUACGUCUCGUCACCUCUCACACCUGUCCCAUCCUUUGAAUGACAGGCCAGAUUUCCAACUCAGUGUCCGGCCUGCUUGGAGUACUAUCUGUGUGGCCACUGUUAGAUGUUUUUAUCCUGGCAAAGGUCCAAUGAAAGUAAAAACGACACUUCAUUGACUAAUAGAAAGAUGGCACUCUGCUCUUAUUUUUAUAUUAAAGAUCACCUGUAUUUGACUACAGUCCUGUCCUUUUUGGUCCCCAGGUUCCGCGUCCAAAGCUUCACCAACUUCAGAUGGAAACUGUAUUAGUACUGAAUGUGAACAUACUUUGUUUUUUUCUUGUCACUAUUCCAUAAAUAAUAUAGUACAACAAUUAUUUAUCUGGCAUUUGCAUCUCAUUAGGUGAUUAAAAGUAAUUUAGAAAUGAUUUAAAGGGUAUGGGAGGAUGUGCAUAGUUUGUAUGCAAAUGCCACUCCAAUUUUCUUAAAUGACUUAAGCACCUGCAGAGUUUGGGAUCUGUCUGGUGCCUGGAACCACUCCCUUAUGGGUGGUAAGGAUAGACUAUAUUAUAUUAAUAUGUUAUCCUUAAUAAAUAAGACUCGGACUGCAGAAAUAUGCAGAGGUCAGAUUAAUUCAGACCGUAAAACUAUUUUAAAUGGAAAUGCCUCAGUUUUGCAAAUUAUUUUAUUAUAAUGAUUUUGCUACUUACAGAAUUGUUUCAGCUUGGAAAAUCUGUUUUUCUCCUUCAACAAAAGGGGUGUGUGAGCUCACUAUGCCAUACCUGUCAAUCACUGUGAGGGUGACAGGGCCAUGCUGGAGAUAUAAUAAUAUGCAUUAUUUUACUGCCCUUGACAGUGACCACAAAAGAUGGGCAUUUUUUUUUCCACUUUGGAGACAGAAACAAGCAAAUCACCAGAGCCACAACUCUUAACAGAAAGGCUCAGCACUGAAACCAGAUAUGGCUGGUGUCAAGGCUUGCACACCACUCUGCCCAGCACUGGCCUGUCUGGUCAGUAAACAUUCCACUUGUCUUCCUCUGUGCUCUGGCCUUCAACACCGGAUUAAACACCACCACGGCUCCACCUCAGUGAUCCCUGUAUCACUAUACAAUUGUGGGCUCAGCCUCCAGGGGCUCUGCCUUACCAUGAACGCCUUUCUAGUUACCCCGUAGUGGAGGUUCUCAGUAGCUGGCAUUCCCAGCUAACUUGUGGGUGGGAGGCUACUGGCCCUUAGUUGGUGAAUUGGAUGUCCCAAGGAGCCACCCCUUUCCACGGAGAUGACAAAAGCAGAUCCUGGGAAAGUCCCGAUGCCAGUGGUGACUUGUUGAGAAUGUCACUCCAGUGCUGAGUAGAAGACUUAGCUACCAUCAUUCAGGAAUCUGCCACUUGCAGUCCAUGGAUGCUGAGAGAGGAACUCUGCUUUGGCCAUACGGCUGCUAGUCGUUGUGGUUAGCCCACACCCAUACACACACAAGUAGCACUCACUGGAGUUGGGAAAAUAUAGUAAACAAUGAGAAGAGGAGGACAUAAAGUUCAGAGGGUGUGGCGCACCAGGGGCCAUGCGAGGGGGGUCAUGGCGGAUGUAUAUGAUUAGAAUACAUUGCACGGAUGUGUGGAGUUUUCACAGAAUAAAUAAAAACACUUUAAA